CUCUACGGCCACGCCCACCCUGAACGUACCCGAUCCCGUCUGAUCUCGGAAGCUAAGCAGGGUCGGGCCUGGUUAGUACUUGGAUGGGAGACCACCUAGGAAGACCAGGUGCUGUAGGUG
This 120-nucleotide ribosomal RNA is filed under the name Pteropus alecto (black flying fox). Lineage: Eukaryota; Metazoa; Chordata; Mammalia; Chiroptera; Pteropodidae. The record is from RNAcentral.